Molecule: ribosomal RNA, 888 nt
Filed under: uncultured archaeon
Lineage: Archaea
Description: bacterial SSU rRNA
Rfam family: Archaeal small subunit ribosomal RNA
Source: RNAcentral
UUCCGGUUGAUCCUGCCGGACCUGACUGCUAUCGGAUUGAUACUAAGCCAUGCGAGUCAUUGUAGCAAUACAAGGCAGACGGCUCAGUAACGCGUAGUCAACCUACCCUAUGGACGGGAAUAACCUCGGGAAACUGAGUAUAAUGCCCGAUAGAACAUUAUACCUGGAAUGGUUUAUGUUCCAAAUGAUUUAUCGCCGUAGGAUGGGACUGCGGCCUAUCAGUUUGUUGGUGAGGUAAUGGCCCACCAAGACUAUUACAGGUACGGGCUCUGAGAGGAGUGGCCCGGAGAUGGGUACUGAGACACGGACCCAGGCCCUAUGGGGCGCAGCAGGCGAGAAAACUUUGCAAUGUGCGAAAGCACGACAAGGUUAAUCCGAGUGGUUUCUGCUAAAGGAACCUUUUGUUAGUCCUAGAAACACUAACGAAUAAGGGGUGGGCAAGUUCUGGUGUCAGCCGCCGCGGUAAAACCAGCACCUCAAGUGGUCAGGAUGAUUAUUGGGCCUAAAGCAUCCGUAGCCGGCUCUGUAAGUUUUCGGUUAAAUCUGUACGCUUAACGUACAGGCCGCCGGGAAUACUGCAGAGCUAGGGAGUGGGAGAGGUAGACGGUACUCGGGAGGAAGUGGUAAAAUGCUUUGAUCUCUCGAUGACCACCUGUGGCGAAGGCGGUCUACCAGAACACGUCCGACGGUGAGGGAUGAAAGCUGGGGGAGCAAACCGGAUUAGAUACCCGGGUAGUCCCAGCUGUAAACUAUGCAAACUCAGUGAUGCAUUGGCUUGUGGCCAAUGCAGUGUUGCAGGGAAGCCGUUAAGUUUGCCGCCUGGGAAGUGCGUACGCAAGUAUGAAACUUAAAGGAAUUGGCAGGGGGAGCACCACAAGGGGUGAAGCC